CAAGAAGAGACCCUAACCGGUCCUCUCAACCCUGCCAUCGUACCUUUUUUGUUGUUCCCAUCGGCGGUGCUCGCGGGCCCGCCGGCGGGAAGACCAAACAAACCCUUUGCAAACAAGCAUAUCGAUAUCUCUGAUCAAACAUGAAUUGUCACC
This 153-nucleotide unclassified non-coding RNA is filed under the name soil metagenome. RNAcentral describes it as "partial internal transcribed spacer 1". The record is from RNAcentral.